This 531-nucleotide ribosomal RNA is filed under the name Penicillium chrysogenum. RNAcentral describes it as "eukaryotic LSU rRNA". The stretch from base 161 to 313 matches the Rfam family "5.8S ribosomal RNA". The record is from RNAcentral. Lineage: Eukaryota; Fungi; Ascomycota; Eurotiomycetes; Eurotiales; Aspergillaceae.
UCUGGGUCACCUCCCACCCGUGUUUAUUUUACCUUGUUGCUUCGGCGGGCCCGCCUUAACUGGCCGCCGGGGGGCUUACGCCCCCGGGCCCGCGCCCGCCGAAGACACCCUCGAACUCUGUCUGAAGAUUGUAGUCUGAGUGAAAAUAUAAAUUAUUUAAAACUUUCAACAACGGAUCUCUUGGUUCCGGCAUCGAUGAAGAACGCAGCGAAAUGCGAUACGUAAUGUGAAUUGCAAAUUCAGUGAAUCAUCGAGUCUUUGAACGCACAUUGCGCCCCCUGGUAUUCCGGGGGGCAUGCCUGUCCGAGCGUCAUUUCUGCCCUCAAGCACGGCUUGUGUGUUGGGCCCCGUCCUCCGAUCCCGGGGGACGGGCCCGAAAGGCAGCGGCGGCACCGCGUCCGGUCCUCGAGCGUAUGGGGCUUUGUCACCCGCUCUGUAGGCCCGGCCGGCGCUUGCCGAUCAACCCAAAUUUUUAUCCAGGUUGACCUCGGAUCAGGUAGGGAUACCCGCUGAACUUAAGCAUAUCAAUAA